Molecule: long non-coding RNA, 2047 nt
Organism: Symphalangus syndactylus (siamang)
Lineage: Eukaryota; Metazoa; Chordata; Mammalia; Primates; Hylobatidae
Source: RefSeq, a predicted model, not a curated record
GCCCUGGACCCAACCAAGCGCCCCGCGGAGGGGUGCGGCCACUUGGGGGCAGGAGAAAGCGGAGUAAGCCAUCCCUCUGGGGACCCAGGAAGCGAGGCGAGCCUCAGGCGGACGCGGUGGUGUGGACCACGGCGAUCAGGGCCUUUCCCCCUGCUGUGGAGACCGAGGUGCGAGGGGACGCCGGCGGCUCCCCACCUUCUGGCCGAGUGGCCCUCUCCGCCGCCGGCUGGACUCCCUCGGGGCUCUCCCUCCAGAGCCGAGUAGGGCUGGCCGGGGGCGGCUGUUUGGCCUGAGCGUGGUCUUACUAAAGCGGAACGCCGGAGGGGAGGCCACCCCGAGAGGAGGCGGUCCCCGGCGGAGGAGGCUUCGUGAAUCCCGCAGCCACCUGCCCGCCCGCCACUCGGGACGCCGCGCCUCGUGGGUUUCACGCUGGAUGGAGGGGGCGCCGCCGAGUUGGCCCAGCCUCCCCCGCUAACUCUACCUCUCCAGUUCCUCAGGCUUUCUCUGACUUUGCUGACCCAAUGACGCCUGGCCACGGGUGGCAAAAACGCCCUCACUGAGCCCUUCGCUAAAGGAGUGCGGGGGUUUAUGUGUCUGGCUUUGAAAAUGGGAUGAGGAGACAAGGAAACAGGACCUGAGAAAGGACACUAUCCAAAAUCUGAUGCUCUCAGAAGUCAACUUUAAAACUGCCCUGCUCUUUUCAUCCAAAGAUGAAUAUAUGAAGCCAGCUGUUACUGGUUGAAAGUGUGCCUCUUGUUUGCAUGGCAAAGAAAUUCAGUUUUGUGUUCAUUUACAGCUGAAGCUCUCUUGAAAUACUUGCCUCAGUCACAGCUUUUACAUUUUGGGAACCAUGCCAUUAGAACUGAAUAUUAGGAACUGUGAUCUUUUGUCUUUUCACAAUUGAUAAUACAUUCAGAACUUAUUUCUGAUAAAGCUGGGCAGUUUCUAAGGAUACUGUACUUAUGAUUUCAAGUCAUAACUCCAUUAUGGAAAAGAGAACAAGAAAUAUGUUUCAAUGACUGCCUUUUAAAUUAGUGGUACCCCAGCACUUUGGGAGGCCGAGGUGACAGGAUCGUUUGAGGCCAGGAGUUCAAGAAAGUCUGGGCAUCAUAGCUAGACCUUGUUUCUACUAAAAAUAAAAAAUAAAUAAAUUUUCUGGGCAUGGUGGCCCAUGCGUGUAGCCCCAGCUACUCAGGAGGCUGAGGUGGGAGGAUGGCUUGGGCCUAGGAGGUUGAGGCCACAGUGAACUAUGAUUACACCAUGGAACUCUAGCCUGGGUGACAGAGUGAGACCCUGUAUGAAAAAGAAAAAAAAAAAAUGUAGUUGUACUUAAUGUACUAAAAUUAAAAAUUGGAUAACAAUAGUUGAGGACAGUGUAGGCAUUUAAAGGUAGCGGAUUGCACUUUUUUUCUCAUGUUUGUCUUUUAUGUGCAUGAGAAUGAGUGCAUAUUGAAUACUACUUGGUAAGGUCUUAAUUUGAUACCUACUGAGAUAAUCCAGCAUUUCAUGUGUAAAGAUAAAUUAGAUAAAUGAAUAAUAUAUCACUAUCUUGGAAAACAGUUCCUAAAUCUGAUUUAUUUUCAGGUUUCAUGAAUCAAAAUCUAACAGAUAAACAACAACAUAUUGGUAGGCUGUGAAACAUUGCUGCAAAUAUAAUUAGGUAAAACAAAGAGCAAAAUAUUUUGAACAGUUUAAAAAAAAAGUGUGUUUAAUAGUGGGCUUAUUGUCCAGAAUUAAUAUUGUAGGAAAAUUCACUAUGUGAAUAUUUUCUGAAUCAUAGUGAUGAUAUUAACAGUAUAUAUAUCACAUUAAACAGAGACUCUUAGUUAAAAUAUUCUGUAAACUAAGUAUUUUAAACUCUUAAAAUCAAUUAUAUAAACUCCUGUAACAUCAUCGAAUUCUGAAAGGACUGAUUUGGAAAGUAAUACAUAAUCUAGUAAAGAUGGAAGGGGAGCUGAGAAAGGAUGUGUUGUUUUAGAUAUUUCUUAUCACAGAAAACGUUUUUCUGUGCUUAUUACAAUAAAGAAUGCAACUGUGUGGGUAAUAA